This is a non-coding RNA of Crocodylus porosus (Australian saltwater crocodile), 66 nucleotides long. Lineage: Eukaryota; Metazoa; Chordata; Crocodylia; Crocodylidae. The record is from Ensembl.
GGCCCUGUAGUGAAAUUCACGACGAACUGCAAACUCGUAGAUGUACUUUAAAUUGUACCUGGGUUU